RNAcentral lists this ribosomal RNA (329 nucleotides) under uncultured Butyrivibrio sp. RNAcentral describes it as "bacterial SSU rRNA". It matches the Rfam family "Bacterial small subunit ribosomal RNA", at positions 28 to 339 of the family's 1533-position model. Lineage: Bacteria; Bacillati; Bacillota; Clostridia; Lachnospirales; Lachnospiraceae. The record is from RNAcentral.
GAUGAACGCUGGCGGCGUGCCUAACACAUGCAAGUCGAGCGGACCUUAGAGAGUGAACAGCUUGCUGGGAUCUUUCGAAAGGUUAGCGGCGGACGGGUGAGUAACGCGUGGGUAACCUGCCUCAUACAGGGGGAUAGCAGUUGGAAACGACUGGUAAUACCGCAUAAGCGCACAGUACCGCAUGGUACAGUGUGAAAAACUCCGGUGGUAUGAGAUGGACCCGCGUCCGAUUAGCCAGUUGGCGGGGUAACGGCCCACCAAAGCGACGAUCGGUAGCCGGCCUGAGAGGGCGGACGGCCACAUUGGGACUGAGACACGGCCCAGACUCC